This 274-nucleotide ribosomal RNA is filed under the name uncultured bacterium. RNAcentral describes it as "partial 16S ribosomal RNA". It matches the Rfam family "Bacterial small subunit ribosomal RNA", at positions 523 to 796 of the family's 1533-position model. The record is from RNAcentral.
AUACGGAGGGCGCAAGCGUUAAUCGGAAUUACUGGGCGUAAAGGGUUCGUAGGCGGUUAUUUAAGUCAGAUGUGAAAUCCCCGGGCUCAACCUGGGAAUUGCAUCUGAUACUGGGUAACUAGAGUUUAAGAGAGGAGUGUGGAAUUUCCGGUGUAGCGGUGAAAUGCAUAGAGAUCGGAAGGAACAUCAGUGGCGAAGGCGGCACUCUGGCUUAAAACUGACGCUGAGGAACGAAAGCGUGGGUAGCAAACAGGAUUAGAUACCAUAGUAGUCC